Molecule: small nucleolar RNA, 96 nt
Filed under: Nicotiana sylvestris (wood tobacco)
Lineage: Eukaryota; Viridiplantae; Streptophyta; Magnoliopsida; Solanales; Solanaceae
Also listed under: 1 other name
Description: Plant small nucleolar RNA U3
Rfam family: Plant small nucleolar RNA U3
About the family: Small nucleolar RNAs (snoRNAs) are involved in the processing and modification of rRNA in the nucleolus.
Source: Rfam by way of RNAcentral
ACGACUUUACUUGAACAGGAUCUGUUCUAUAGGCUCGUACCACUGUAUCCUUGAGUUCUAAGAAGACAGGAAACAAAGUCUGGUUGAAGCCGAGCU